AUUGCUUCCCGGCCUUUUGGCUGAGAUCAAGUGUAGUAUCUGUUCUAAUCAGUUUAAUAUCUUACACGUCCUGUAUCCAAAGAAGGUUCCUCAUCUGUCUUUUGUAUCUCGUGUUAAUUUCC
Small nuclear RNA from Lynx canadensis (Canada lynx), 122 nucleotides. Its record names the gene U2. It matches the Rfam family "U2 spliceosomal RNA". Rfam says of the family: U2 is a small nuclear RNA (snRNA) component of the spliceosome (involved in pre-mRNA splicing). Complementary binding between U2 snRNA (in an area lying towards the 5' end but 3' to hairpin I) and the branchpoint sequence (BPS) of the intron results the bulging out of an unpaired adenosine, on the BPS, which initiates a nucleophilic attack at the intronic 5' splice site, thus starting the first of two transesterification reactions that mediate splicing. NCBI's taxonomy places the organism in Eukaryota, Metazoa, Chordata, Mammalia, Carnivora, Felidae. The record is from Ensembl.